Molecule: long non-coding RNA, 1162 nt
Organism: Odontomachus brunneus
Lineage: Eukaryota; Metazoa; Arthropoda; Insecta; Hymenoptera; Formicidae
Exons: 2
Source: RefSeq, a predicted model, not a curated record
AAGAACAGACCAAUGCUAUUAGUAGAAACGGUGGCGAUCCGUAAUGGAGAUUUUGGAAUUAUUCUUUGCAAUUUAUGAUUCAUGCAGAGAGAAGUAUGAGAGCGGUCACCAGCCUGAUAUCAAUGGCCAGAGUUAAAUGCAUUUUCGAGACGUCAUCUAACAAAGUGCGCCUCUGCUGUUCGUUAGGCGCAUUUUCGCGGUGGUAACGAUAAAAUGUGCCUGGUUCAUGCCCAUUGUACUUUCCGAUCGGACGCUCUCUGUUGAAGUGUCGCAAGGUCUAACCUUAGUGGAUUGACGAGUAAUUUGCAAGACUUCUCGAAGGAAAAUAUAUGACUUUUAUGGAUAAAACGUAACGGUACAGCAAGCUAAGAGUGCUUAUCGUCAAUUCGUGACAUAUCUAUCAUUGGAAGACAACGUUUUCAACAUGUCGUUACCUGCCGUGAAUAAGUCACGAAGCGUUACCUGCUGGAUCUUUGUACCAUUAUUUAUAGGGCUACAUGUAGGUUGGUACACGCUACAACAAACUUACGUACCGCCAAAUGAAAGACACGAUCAUCCAUUGAUCAAAUAUUUUAAGAGAUAUACUAAAUAGAAAUAUCUGUAGGGUAUAUCGUGUUAUAUAGGGUGUACUCUCAAGAGCACACUAUCAGUGAAAUUUGUUGCACGCAUGGACGUAAGAAUAUAUUGACGGAGCGAAUUGUGGGGUGAAACCCAAUGAGUGAGGGGAAUGAUUGUAUAUAUUAUAAUGGAGUUGUCAUACCAUGAUGGCGACGGUCACUGUUUUUAUACAUAGACAAUAGAUACAAACCUCCGACAUCAUGAUAGCCGCGACGAUGUAACCUCUUAUCUCUUGGGCUUCACAGCCCCUCGUCUAUAAUCGCACUUUGCGCUCCGUCUAUGUUAACACAUCAUUCUAUCUAUGUUGUAUAUAUGUAGAAAGACUGAAUGACACGUAGCGACGAUAUAGCGCGCUUUCCGAACGCACCCAUAAUAGUUGUGAUAGAAUGAUUUAUUUUAUACAAAACUCUUUAUUGUAAGAGAUAUACAUAUGAACUGCACGCGUUUGCUUCUACGUGUAGAUAUAAACGCAAAUCUAAAUCAUUGAAAUUGAAAUAAAAUAAAUUUGAAAAUUUCCUCUUAAAAAAGGAAAUGUGCGAAUAAA